GGCGGGACACGUGGUAUCCUGUCUGAAUAUGGGGGGACCAUCCUCCAAGGCUAAAUACUCCUGACUGACCGAUAGUGAACCAGUACCGUGAGGGAAAGGCGAAAAGAACCCCGGCGAGGGGAGUGAAAAAGAACCUGAAACCGUGUACGUACAAGCAGUGGGAGCACCCUUUGGGGUGUGACUGCGUACCUUUUGUAUAAUGGGUCAGCGACUUAUAUUCUGUAGCAAGGUUAACCGAAUAGGGGAGCCGGAGGGAAACCGAGUCUUAAUUGGGCGUUAAGUUGCAGGGUAUAGACCCGAAACCCGGUGAUCUAGCCAUGGGCAGGUUGAAGGUUGGGUAACACUAACUGGAGGACCGAACCGACUAAUGUUGAAAAAUUAGCGGAUGACCUGUGGCUGGGGGUGAAAGGCCAAUCAAACCGGGAGAUAGCUGGUUCUCCCCGAAAGCUAUUUAGGUAGCGCCUCGUGAAUUCAUCUCCGGGGGUAGAGCACUGUUUCGGCUAGGGGGCCAUCCCGGCUUACCAACCCGAUGCAAACUGCGAAUACCGGAGAAUGUUAUCACGGGAGACACACGGCGGGUGCUAACGUCCGUCGUGAAGAGGGAAACAACCCAGACCGCCAGCUAAGGUCCCAAAGUCAUGGUUAAGUGGGAAACGAUGUGGGAAGGCCCAGACAGCCAGGAUGUUGGCUUAGAAGCAGCCAUCAUUUAAAGAAAGCGUAAUAGCUCACUGGUCGAGUCGGCCUGCGCGGAAGAUGUAACGGGGCUAAACCAUG
Molecule: ribosomal RNA, 774 nt
Filed under: Salmonella enterica
Lineage: Bacteria; Pseudomonadati; Pseudomonadota; Gammaproteobacteria; Enterobacterales; Enterobacteriaceae
Also listed under: 3 other names
Description: partial 23S ribosomal RNA
Rfam family: Bacterial large subunit ribosomal RNA
Source: RNAcentral